GAUGAACGCUGGCGGCGUGCCUAAUACAUGCAAGUCGAGCGAACAGACGAGGAGCUUGCUCCUCUGACGUUAGCGGCGGACGGGUGAGUAACACGUGGAUAACCUACCUAUAAGACUGGGAUAACUUCGGGAAACCGGAGCUAAUACCGGAUAAUAUAUUGAACCGCAUGGUUCAAUAGUGAAAGACGGUUUUGCUGUCACUUAUAGAUGGAUCCGCGCCGCAUUAGCUAGUUGGUAAGGUAACGGCUUACCAAGGCGACGAUGCGUAGCCGACCUGAGAGGGGGAUCAGCCACACUGGAACGGAGGCACGGUCCAGACUCCUACGGGAGGCAGCAGUAGGGAAUCUUCCGCAAUGGGCGAAAGCAUGACGGAGCAACGCCGCGUGGGGGAUGAAGGUGUUCGGAUCGUAAAACUCUGUUAUUAGGGAAGAACAAAUGUGUAAGUAACUAUGCACGUCUUGACGGUACCUAAUCAGAAAGCCACGGCUAACUACGUG
Molecule: ribosomal RNA, 497 nt
Filed under: uncultured bacterium
Lineage: Bacteria
Description: partial 16S ribosomal RNA
Rfam family: Bacterial small subunit ribosomal RNA
Source: RNAcentral